RNAcentral lists this long non-coding RNA (388 nucleotides) under Homo sapiens (human). RNAcentral's name for it is "non-protein coding lnc-PSMA8-3:1". The record is from RNAcentral. Lineage: Eukaryota; Metazoa; Chordata; Mammalia; Primates; Hominidae.
AACAAAACAGUAACUAUUUCAACGAGGAAGUUCAUGACCUACCAACUACUUCAGAGGAAACAAAUGGGCAUCAGUGUCCUUCACCCUGGGAAGGCAACAGUACCUAAGACAGAAAUUUGGGGGAAACUAGCCAAAAUGUACAAUACCACACUGGAUGUCAUCUUUGAAUUUGGAUUCAGAACCUAUUUUAGUGGUGGCAAGACAACUGGCUUUGGCAUGAUUUUAUAAUUCUUUGGAUUAUGCAAAGAAAAAUGAACGCAAAUAUAGACUUACAAGACAUGGCCUGUAUGAGAAGAAAAAGACCUUAAGAAAACAGCAAAAGAAAUGCAAGAACAGAAUGAAGAAAGUCAGGUGGACUGCAAAGGCCAAUGGUGCCAGCAAAAAGUGA